Molecule: long non-coding RNA, 2039 nt
Organism: Papaver somniferum (opium poppy)
Lineage: Eukaryota; Viridiplantae; Streptophyta; Magnoliopsida; Ranunculales; Papaveraceae
Exons: 8
Source: RefSeq, a predicted model, not a curated record
UGCAUCUCUGAAGAAUCCUAGUUUUGCAACAACUUGAAAACCUUAUAACUAGAUCGAUCACAGUACCACCAUCAAUUUCUUCAUUUCUCAAGACCCCAUCUCAGAUUCAAAAGCAAACCCUAGUCUCUUCUUCAACUGACUUCUUCUUAAUCAAGAGCACGGAGUCAUCAGAAUCAUCUUCAGAUCACCUUUGACAAAAUCGAUUGAACCACAACAACGCUAGUUAGAUCUGCAAGUAAUAAUCGUUUUGUUAUGUGUAUGUGUUGGUUUUAGGUUUGUGUUUGUUAGUAGAUUUCAGUUGGAAUUUUUAUUUCAGUUGGAAGCAUCGAUCUAAGACUUUAGGUCAUUUGUGAGAUUUGGAAGCAUCGAUAUGAUAAUCAGUAUUGCUGGUGGUGGUGUUGGUAUUUGAGGCUUGGUGUUCUCUGGUGGUGGUGUUGGUAUUUGAGGCUUGGUGUUCUCUGGUGGAGUUGCAGCAACUUCAGGUGGAGGUGGUUUUGUAGGGGGUUGAAUAGAUUAUGAAGCAGAGGUUGAGGAUGAAGAAGAAUCUGAAAAAUCAAAAUCAGAAGUGAAUUAUUAAGAUGAUGAAGAAGAUAAGAGUGGUGGAGAGAAUAUUGGAGCAACAUGGUCUCUCAUAAGAAGAGGUACAAAGAUAUACGAAAGAUUUAUCAGAAGAAAAGGUACAAAGAGCUACAAAACUUUUACCAUGUAAGAUAGUGAAAAAGGAAGGAAAGCCUUGUGUUGAGGUUAAACGUAAGGAUGGGGAGACUUGAGGUUUUCAGUCCUGGGGAAAUUAAUGCUAUGAUUCAAUCUAAGAUGAAGGAAACAACUGAAGCAUUCCCAGGAAAAAAAAUUAAGGAUGCAGUCAUUAGUAUACCUGAGAUAGGCUACCAAGGCUACUACUGUAAUCGCUGGAUUAAAUGUAGCAAGAAUCAUCAACGAGCCAACUGCAUUCGCUAUCGCAUUUGGUCUGGGCAAAUCAAGGAAAGCUGAUGAGAACAAAUCUAUUUUCCACGGGGAGGGUAUCUUAUUUAAUUUAAAGCAUCUCUCACCCUUAUUCUGCCCUGUAAACUUUAAACUUACAAUAACUUUUAAAACUGAUGCACCACCACUGACCAUUUCCUUUCAGUGUGAACUAUUCUGGGCUAGUAUUCAAAAUCGAUAUGUUUCUUUGGAGUGUUCUUAUUUCACUUACCCUAAGGCAACUGAUAAUUACAUCUGUUGAUGACCACCUAUGCUAUAAAUGCAUAUCUAGCUUAGUCAAGUCUACUUCAGAUAAAAGUAAAACAUUUUUGAGUUUCGUUACAUAGUUAUAAAAAUAUGUAAAAUCGUUAUGUCUUUUCUUCUUGGCAAUAUUUCAUCCAGGGGAUACCAAUUUUUUUUUGCGCGAGUUUGAAAAAUGUGGGCUUAUAUUGAAGCAAGUUCCUGGCACUGGUGAUGCUUAACUGGACGCAUAUUCUAUAUCAGAACAAGGCCCAAAUGGUUAUUAUUGCACACGAUGUUGAAUCAUCGAUUUCAUUGAGCUUGUUGUUUGGCUUCCAGCCUUAUGCCGUAAAAAGAAAAUCCCAUAUGCCACUGUGAAGGGAAAGGCUCGUCUUGGAGCGAUCGUACACUAGCUUAUGUCAUGUGCUGUCUGGGUCCUCAUUCUGCACCGACCUGUGAAUUUCCAAUUCCCUUUGUUGUCCUUCAACAUGAUGCAGAUACACUCACAACAGCAGUAGUUUCUGAAUGUUCAUGAUCAACAACUACUCUGAAACGAAGGUAUUUGGGCUUAAGUCAAAAAGCAGUACUCUUGUGAUAUUUUAACAGCAACUGAAUCUACGUAUGAUUUACUAAGGAAAUUGGUUAAGCAAGCGGAGUCUUGUGAUACUCUUGGUGAUAUUUUAGUUUUUCUUUCCCUGUUUUUCAAUGCCUCUGUCAGUUGAUACAAACUAGGUCCAUCCAUUUUUGAACAUCAACAUAGAUUGAAUAUUCUAUGUCCGUCACAAAAUUUGUUCAUUAAGUUACUUGUGAUAUUUUAGUUUACUUGUGUAUCAAUUGAA